GAUGAACGCUGGCGGCGUGCCUAAUACAUGCAAGUCGAGCGAACAGACGAGGAGCUUGCUCCUCUGACGUUAGCGGCGGACGGGUGAGUAACACGUGGAUAACCUACCUAUAAGACUGGGAUAACUUCGGGAAACCGGAGCUAAUACCGGAUAAUAUAUUGAACCGCAUGGUUCAAUAGUGAAAGACGGUUUUGCUGUCACUUAUAGAUGGAUCCGCGCAGCAUUAGCUAGUUGGUAAGGUAACGGCUUACCAAGGCAACGAUGCGUAGCCGACCUGAGAGGGUUAACGGCCACACUGGAACUGAGACACGGUCCAGACUCCUAAGGGAGGCAGCAGUAGGGAAUCUUCCGCAAUGGGCGAAAGCCUGACGGAGCAACGCCGGGGGAGUGAUGAAGGUCUUCGGAUCGUAAAACUCUGUUAUUAGGGAAGAACAAAUGUGUAAGUAACUAUGCACGUCUUGACGGUACCUAAUCAGAAAGCCACGGCUAACUACGUG
This 497-nucleotide ribosomal RNA is filed under the name uncultured bacterium. Its description in RNAcentral is "partial 16S ribosomal RNA". It matches the Rfam family "Bacterial small subunit ribosomal RNA", at positions 28 to 507 of the family's 1533-position model. The record is from RNAcentral.